UUCCUCCUUUAAAAGUAUCAUUGGAGGGCAGUCUGGUGCCAGCAGCCGCGGUAAUUCCAGCUCCAAUAGCGUAUAUUAAAAUUGUUGCAGUUAAAAAGCUCGUAGUUGAAUUUCUGCUGCAUCGUCGCAUCUCUUGCUGAGUGCUUCGUUUCGGCUUAUUUCGGAUUGAUUUUUUCUUUCCGGAUGAUUACUUUGAGAAAAUUAGAGUGCUCAAAGCAGGCUUUUGCCUUGAAUAGUUUAGCAUGGAAUAAUAAAGUAGGACUUUGGUUCUAUUUUGUUGGUUUUAGGUACCAAAGUAAUGGUUAAUAGGAACAGUUGGGGGCAUUCGUAUUUAACUGUCAGAGGUGAAAUUCUUAGAUUUGUUAAAGACGAACUACUGCGAAAGCAUUUGCCAAGGAUGUUUUCAUUAAUCAAGAACGAAAGUUAGGGGAUCGAAGACGAUCAGAUACCGUCGUAGUCCUC
Molecule: ribosomal RNA, 462 nt
Filed under: Theileria sinensis
Lineage: Eukaryota; Apicomplexa; Aconoidasida; Piroplasmida; Theileriidae
Description: SSU rRNA
Rfam family: Eukaryotic small subunit ribosomal RNA
Source: RNAcentral